AUCAGCCUACGGGGGGCAGCAGUGGGGGAUAUUGCACAAUGGGGGGAACCCUGAUGCAGCGACGCCGCGUGGGUGAGGAAGCGCCUCGGCGCGUAAAGCCCUGUCAGCAGGGAAGAAAAUGACGGUACCUGAAGAAGAAGCCCCGGCUAACUACGUGCCAGCAGCCGCGGUAAUACGUAGGGGGCAAGCGUUAUCCGGAUUUACUGGGUGUAAAGGGAGCGCAGGCGGCAUGGCAAGUCUGAUGUGAAAACCCGGGGCCCAACCCCGGGAGGGCAUUGGAAACUGCCAGGCUGGAGUGUCGGAGG
This 305-nucleotide ribosomal RNA is filed under the name uncultured bacterium. Its description in RNAcentral is "bacterial SSU rRNA". It matches the Rfam family "Bacterial small subunit ribosomal RNA", at positions 333 to 655 of the family's 1533-position model. The record is from RNAcentral.